ACUAUUUUGGCAGAAGAGUGCCAUGAAUUUAGAAUUCAUAUAUGUAAUUAAUAUUACAAUUAGUA
Molecule: transfer RNA, 65 nt
Filed under: Megaloprepus caerulatus
Lineage: Eukaryota; Metazoa; Arthropoda; Insecta; Odonata; Coenagrionidae
Description: tRNA-Leu
Source: RNAcentral